Molecule: ribosomal RNA, 1368 nt
Filed under: Triticum aestivum (bread wheat)
Lineage: Eukaryota; Viridiplantae; Streptophyta; Magnoliopsida; Poales; Poaceae
Description: partial small subunit ribosomal RNA
Source: RNAcentral
AUGGAGGUGUUCUACUACCUCGUCUUCGGCGGCCUCGCCGCCGUCGUGGCGGCGCUGGAGCUCGGCAAGUCCGGCAAGGACCGCGUCGCCACCCCGACGGCCUUCAACUCCUUCAAGAACAACUACGUCCUCGUCUACUCCCUCAUGAUGUCUGGGGACUGGCUGCAGGGGCCCUACGUGUACUACCUCUACAGCCAGUACGGGUUCGACAAGGGCGACAUCGGCCGCCUCUUCAUCGCCGGCUUCGGCUCCUCCAUGCUCUUCGGCACCAUCGUCGGGUCGCUCGCCGACAAGCAGGGAAGGAAGAGGGCGUGCAUCACCUACUGUAUCACCUACAUCCUCAGCUGCAUCACGAAGCACUCCCCGCAGUACAGGAUUCUGAUGAUUGGCCGUGUGCUUGGAGGCAUUGCAACAUCGCUGCUCUUCUCGGCGUUCGAGUCGUGGCUCGUCGCGGAGCACAACAAGAGAGGUUUUGAUCCGCAGUGGCUGUCAAUAACAUUCUCCAAGGCUAUAUUUCUUGGGAAUGGCCUAGUUGCCAUUGUCGCAGGGCUAUUUGCAAAUCUACUGGCUGAUAACUUGGGUUUUGGCCCUGUCGCUCCAUUUGAUGCUGCUGCUUGCUUCCUAGCAAUAGGCAUGGCAAUCAUCUUAUCGUCGUGGGGUGAGAACUAUGGAGAUGCAUCUGAAGGAAAGGACUUGAUGGCCCAGUUCAAGGUUGCAGCUAAAGCCAUUGCUUCCGAUGAAAAGAUUGCAUUGCUUGGAGCCAUACAGUCAUUGUUUGAGGGUUCAAUGUACACUUUUGUUUUCUUGUGGACUCCUGCUUUGAGCCCAAAUGAAGAAGACAUUCCUCAUGGCUUCAUAUUUGCCACAUUCAUGCUCUCCUCGAUGUUGGGUAGCUCAAUUGCAUCUCGUCUAUUAGCUCGGAAGAUGAAGGUCGAAGGUUAUAUGCAGAUUGUGUUCUCAAUAUCAGCUUUCACUCUUUUCCUCCCUGUUGUUACCAAUUUCAUAGUACCCCCCUCAGAGAAAGGUGGAAGCAUCUCCUUCGGAGGCUGUGUACAGCUUCUUGGUUUCUGCAUAUUCGAGUCAUGUGUUGGCAUAUUCUGGCCCUCAAUCAUGAAGAUGAGAUCUCAAUAUAUCCCCGAGGAGGCGAGAAGCACUAUCAUGAACUUCUUCCGCAUACCACUUAACCUGUUUGUAUGUGUGGUGCUUUACAAUGUGAAUGCCUUCCCAAUCGCUGUCAUGUUUGGCAUGUGCUCCAUUUUCCUAUUCAUCGCAGCAAUUUUGCAGAGGCGGCUGAUGUCCGUGUCCGACCUUCACAGAUCAACUAAAGCCGCAGAGAUGACAGCAGAAGAUGAGCCACUAAACCCUUGA